RNAcentral lists this ribosomal RNA (386 nucleotides) under uncultured bacterium. RNAcentral's name for it is "bacterial SSU rRNA". It matches the Rfam family "Bacterial small subunit ribosomal RNA", at positions 29 to 416 of the family's 1533-position model. The record is from RNAcentral.
AUUAAACGCUGGCGGCAUGCCUUACACAUGCAAGUCGAACGGCAGCACGGGGGCAACCCUGGUGGCGAGUGGCGGACGGGUGAGUAAAGCAUCGGAACGUAUCCUGGAGUGGGGGAUAACGUAGCGAAAGUUACGCUAAUACCGCAUAUUCUGUGAGCAGGAAAGCAGGGGAUCGCAAGACCUUGCGCUCUGGGAGCGGCCGAUGUCGGAUUAGCUAGUUGGUGGGGUAAAGGCCUACCAAGGCGACGAUCCGUAGCGGGUCUGAGAGGAUGAUCCGCCACACUGGGACUGAGACACGGCCCAGACUCCUACGGGAGGCAGCAGUGGGGAAUUUUGGACAAUGGGCGCAAGCCUGAUCCAGCCAUGCCGCGUGAGUGAAGAAGGCC